Molecule: unclassified non-coding RNA, 579 nt
Filed under: Gigantopelta aegis
Lineage: Eukaryota; Metazoa; Mollusca; Gastropoda; Neomphalida; Peltospiridae
Description: neutral ceramidase-like, transcript variant X1
Source: RNAcentral
AAGGGAUACGCAUCCCAGCUCUUUGAGAAACUCAUGAAUCCCGACAGUCUUCCUGGACAGAUUUCUCUUUGUAAACCCACUAUGGGGUACAGUUUUGCAGCUGGCACUACUGAUGGUCCAGGCAUGUUUGAUUUUAAACAAGGGAUCACACCGCUAUUUCAGCCAAUGAGCGACGUGUAGCCGAUGAAUUUAGUUCCAUGAAAAAGAGUACCUCUUUUCUUUAUUUUAUUAGGUGAUACUUCAACAAACAUAUUCUGGAACACUGUCCGCAAUCUGCUGCAAAUACCAACAGCAGCUCAAGUUGCCUGUCAUCACCCAAAACCCAUACUGCUUGAUACUGGCGAGAUUAGUUUCCCAUAUCUAUGGCAACCACAGAUUAUUGAAGUGUAAAUCUUGAGACUUGGUCAGCUUGCCAUCAUUGCUGUUCCAGCAGAGUUCACAACAAUGUCUGGCAGAAGAACCAGAGAUGCUGUAAAAGAAACACUAAAAGCUGGUGGUUUUCCUGCUGACACCUUAUCUGUUAUUGCUGGUUUGUCCAAUGAUUAUGGCGAUUAUGUUGCAACAUAUGAAGAAUACCAG